GCUUCGGUGGUGUAGUGGUAGUAGCACGCGUUCUCAUUAUGGAUGAAACGCGGAAUCGAUUUCCGCCUCAGGCU
Parelaphostrongylus tenuis is the source of this 74-nucleotide non-coding RNA. The record is from the annotation of a GenBank genome assembly. Lineage: Eukaryota; Metazoa; Nematoda; Chromadorea; Rhabditida; Metastrongylidae.